CAGGAGCGUUCCUGGGCUAAUCUUUAUCUUCGCUUUGCUCUUCAGAACAAAUGCCUGUGAUGUGAGGCGACUUUACAGGAAACGUGACCUCACUGGGGCUCUGUGCCGCUGAUUGCACGGGCUGUUUUCGAAAGGAAACAGGGACUUGCUGGAGCUGCCCUUGCAGAGCCAGGGCUGAGCUCUCCCAGGAAGCUGCUCCAGAACAGCCUCCACCAGCCGUCCCACCGGCUCUCCCGCUGAUGAAGAGAAAAUUUUGCACGCAUGUGUUAAUUGUGAAAUGGAUUUUCCAGGUUCAACACCAUUUAAUGAAGAGCACAGAUACAGCCCCUCAAGACAUAUUUUUCCAAGUUGUGCUUGUGCCUUUUUGGAUGACGACCCUGCCUAUGAGUGCUCCACAAACCCUCUGACAGGCUCCAUUCCUGCGUGCCGCCGCAGCCCUCGACUGCUUUCCAAUGGUUAUUAUGUUUUGACAGAGGACAGUUUUCUGUCUGGUGAAGAGGGCAACAUAACACUGACACCAUCCCACACCAGUGUUACAUAUAAAGAGAAUUUAGUUCGGGUAUUCAGGCGAAGGAAGAAAAUCCGUCGCUCUCUUGACAGCUUGUUCAACCUCAGUGCUACCAGCUCAUGGCUCAGCUCCACCACUCCCAGCAGGAUGGAUUUCUCCCAUGUAGAGGAUCCUUGGCCUGAUGGAUGCAGUAAACUAGAAGCCAGUCACAGUGAUGUUGGUGAUUCAGACUUUUCUUCUGAAUAUAAUAACCAUGUGUCACAAAGGCAAAUUCCAGCAUCUAAUGGAGCAUUUCUCACCAAAGAUGAUGAGUUUCUUAAUUUUGAGGAACCAUUUUGUGCUUCAAAAUCCUGCUCUUCAUUUAUGGUAAAUGCAAAUGAAGAGAAUUGGAGCAAUGCAGAUAUUUUAUGGGAGGACUGUUUGCCACUUUGUUGCUGAUGAUUUUAGUUUGUAAGUAUAGAAUUUCUUUAUUUCCAACAUAAUUUUUUUUACUAAGUCACACCUGAAGAACAAAUUCUUUCCUUGAAUGUAUAUCCAUGGGUCUUACUGAUCCUAAUAAGAGUAUUAUAUGGUCAAAUGGGGACAAAUGUAGCCUUCAAUCCAUUACAGCAUUUUGCAUCUUAAUUUCACAGUUCUUUUGUCCCAAGAUACUGCUGUGUCCGCUUUCUUCAGUCUCAAUACAUUUUUCAAAACAACUAAAUUUUGACAUAAUAAGAAAUAAAGAACAAUUGCUCUUCAGCACUGAACUCUUGGAUACCUCCUUAUGGCCAUGGUUACACACUCCUGUGGGGAAAAAAUAUAACAGAUUUGACAGUAUUCUUCCUCCAAAAUACAAUGAAUUUUAGCUUUAUUUUUCUUCUUAUCAAAUGUGAGUGAGGCCUUACUUCUUGGUGACUACCUGAAAGAAAUCACACAAAGAAAUGCUAUAUUUGUAGUAUCUUAUCUCAAUAAUGAAAAAUGUUCUGCAAUUCCUGUGAAUUUUUUUAUAUAAAAAUGAUGUAAUCUCAUAUUUUAUGUAUUAAUUUCUUGUUACAACAUGCUAUCAAAGAUAAUGGAUUUGGAUAGUGGCUGAGUACCUGCGAUAAUGAUUUACUAUGCAACUAAAACAGUAUUUAUUAUACUUAUCCUCAUAUUUACUUGUAGUUAAUGCACUUGAAUAGUAUUGUGUCAAAUAAUUCCUCUUUAUUUAAAGUACAGAGACAACUGAGAGUAAAUAUCAAUCUGUAAAACAUGUAAAUAUUUUGUUAUCUAUUUUUGCCUAACAUAAAAGGUCCAUUACUAAAAUAAUGACAAAAUAAAGGAUUAUAAAGAUUUUUAGUGUUUAAAUAAUCUCUUAAAAUAAUAAUCUGGAAAUUUAAAUCCCAUCCUGAGAGAAAAGACUAAGACUGUAAUUACCCUGCAGUCAUCAAAGCAAUUAUGCUGAAAACUAGAAAAGUUCACUGUAAACUCAUUAGUUCACUGUAAACUAUCAAAGCAAAAUCUGAUUGAGAUUGAAAGAAAAAAAAGGUGUACAAUUAAUUCCUAUAAUAUGUCUGUUAAUAAAUACAAACUAUAAAUUAGAAUUGUUCUGAUCUGGAGUGAGGGAACUCCUGGGACAAUUUCUGAAUUGGAGUUCAAGGACUAAAAAUAAAAUGCUUGGGAUCUAUUAAGAUCUGAUUUCCUUGAUAUUUGUGGAUGUUGAAUUAACAAAGUUCUAGUCAAUUACCAGCAUGGCUGGCUUUGGCAGUUCCCUUCUGUAUAUUCCUAUGGACAUAAAAACAGGCCUCAUCUUUUUUCUCUGAAAAGAGGAACAAUCAUAUGUUUCUUCCUGUUGGAUAAAAAAUUGAAGACAGGAUUUUUAUGGUGAAAAACUGAAAAAAAAAUUUCCAACCUAAAUGUGUAAAUUCAGUGUUUCAGAGGUAAUGAGUAUUUGCAGCUUCUGGUUAACUACAGUAUAACCAUGUAGUUAUAGUUAUAACUGUGGAAUAUAAUUCUCUCACAGUAAAGGCACUUAUUAAUUAGUGAUUAACUGACACAUAUACUAACAGAGAAAACAAAUAGAAUUUUAUGGGUUUUUUUGUCCCCAGUGAUUAAACAUUUACUCCCCUUUAAUAUAGCACCUUAUAUUACCAUCUAUUAUUUAAGUUACAUGGAAUAAACUGCAUGGUACAGAAUACAGGUUAUGACCACUUAGUCCAGUUCUGCAAAAUCUGCUUUUUGAUGUACAUUUUUAUGAAUUGGCUGCACUAUUUUGUAAAGCUCUUUGCACAUUUCUAUAUACACUGAGCAAAACUGGUACUCUAUUUAUAUUGUUUCCUUUUUGAUGGUUUCUCAUGCUGCUUCUUUCCCCCCUAUCUCUGGCAUUUCUAUAUCAAUAAAGUUGUUCCUGUUCUCAUUUCUUCUUGUAUUUGAGAGUGUGUUUCAGUAAUGAAGAUUGUUAUUAUUAGAAAUUGCAUGUAUUUCAGUGAAUUUCUUAUUUGUGAGUUCAUGUCCUGUCCUGCAAAUUGUGUGCUCUUUGGGGGAGAGUUUUUUGGUACUUUAGUGCAAACAUAAAGCCUUUUUUGCACUGGUGACUAUGUUAACUAGAACCAUAGAAAAAUAAAAUGAAAAAAUAAUAUUUGAAAAAAAGGUAAUUCAAUAGGAAAUAAAUAAAAAUACAUAGGUUUAAAUUCUGAGUGGGUAUCAAUCAGCUGAUUAACACCAGCUGAGACUCUAAGCUGCAGCAUUUCAACAGCUUUGUCCAUGUAUAUAAGUUUUCUGGGGUUGGAGCACCUUACAUGAUUGUAUAUAUGGAUAAAGUCAAGACAUGUUCAAAAAACUUCUGUAUUAAUAAUGCUAUAAAUGCUAGUAUUGUAAUAAUAAUGCUAUAAAGCUUAUUUUUGUCAUUAUAUAGAAAUACAUAUUGUGUUGUUUUACACAUGCAACAAAUAAAAUUGUAAUACAUUGAAC
Molecule: non-coding RNA, 3436 nt
Organism: Zonotrichia albicollis (white-throated sparrow)
Lineage: Eukaryota; Metazoa; Chordata; Aves; Passeriformes; Passerellidae
Source: RefSeq, a predicted model, not a curated record